RNAcentral lists this ribosomal RNA (301 nucleotides) under uncultured bacterium. RNAcentral describes it as "partial 16S ribosomal RNA". It matches the Rfam family "Bacterial small subunit ribosomal RNA", at positions 509 to 807 of the family's 1533-position model. The record is from RNAcentral.
CAGCAGCCGCGGUAAUACAGAGGGUGCGAGCGUUAAUCGGAUUUACUGGGCGUAAAGCGUGCGUAGGCGGCUUUUUAAGUCGGAUGUGAAAUCCCUGAGCUUAACUUAGGAAUUGCAUUCGAUACUGGGAAGCUAUAGUAUGGGAGAGGAUGGUAGAAUUCCAGGUGUAGCAGUGAAAUGCGUAGAGAUCGGAAGGAACAUCUGUGGCGAAGGCGACUAUCUGGGCCAACACUGACACUGAGGCACGAAAGCGUGGGGAGCAAACAGGAUUAGAUACCCGAGUAGUCCCUGUCUCUUAUAC